GAUGAACGCUGGCGGCGUGCCUAAUACAUGCAAGUCGAGCGAACAGACGAGGAGCUUGCUCCUCUGACGUUAGCGGCGGACGGGUGAGUAACACGUGGAUAACCUACCUAUAAGACUGGGAUAACUUCGGGAAACCGGAGCUAAUACCGGAUAAUAUAUUGAACCGCAUGGUUCAAUAGUGAAAGACGGUUUUGCUGUCACUUAUAGAUGGAUCCGCGCCGCAUUAGCUAGUUGGUAAGGUAACGGCUUACCAAGGCGACGAUGCGUAGCCGACCUGAGAGGGUGAUCGGCCACACUGGAACUGAGACACGGUCCAGACUCCUACGGGAGGCAGCAGUAGGGAAUCUUCCGCAAUGGGCGAAAGCCUGACGGAGCAACGCCGCGUGAGUGAUGAAGGCCUUCGGAUCGUAAAACUCUGUUAUUAGGGAAGAACAAAUGUGUAAGUAACUAUGCACGUCUUGACGGUACCUAAUCAGAAAGCCACGGCUAACUGCGUG
Molecule: ribosomal RNA, 497 nt
Filed under: uncultured bacterium
Lineage: Bacteria
Description: partial 16S ribosomal RNA
Rfam family: Bacterial small subunit ribosomal RNA
Source: RNAcentral